UUUCCUUUUAUUUCUUUUCAAAAAUUUCAGAGGAUUCUCUGAAACCCUCUCCUCCUUUCAUGAAUCUGGUCGCCGGACUGGUCAUCGGCCGCCUUGGUCCACUACCGUCGACCACCGUACAUGGCGGCCAGAACUCCAAAAGGGUUAGGCGUGGUCAACGAAGGGAGCAGGUGGAGGAAGUGUGCUAUAGGCGGUGGCAGAGGCCAAAAGACUGGCAUGGUAGAGGACCUAGGGGCGGCUAGGGUUUCUUCUGCCUUUUUCUUUGCUGAAAAUUUUUUAGAUUUUGGGCCAUUUGGACUUAUUUUUUUGUAAUUUGGACUGGACUUUAUUAUUUUUUGA
Gossypium arboreum is the source of this 339-nucleotide long non-coding RNA. RefSeq lists it as uncharacterized. NCBI's taxonomy places the organism in Eukaryota, Viridiplantae, Streptophyta, Magnoliopsida, Malvales, Malvaceae. The transcript is spliced from 2 exons. The record is from RefSeq and is a predicted model, not a curated record.